This 253-nucleotide ribosomal RNA is filed under the name uncultured bacterium. Its description in RNAcentral is "partial 16S ribosomal RNA". It matches the Rfam family "Bacterial small subunit ribosomal RNA", at positions 524 to 776 of the family's 1533-position model. The record is from RNAcentral.
UACGUAGGGAGCAAGCGUUGUCCGGAUUCACUGGGUGUAAAGGGUGCGCAGGCGGGAAAGUAAGUCAGAGGUGAAAUCUCACAGCUUAACUGUGAAACUGCCUUUGAUACUGCUUUUCUUGAGUUCGGGAGAGGUUGAUGGAAUUCCAGGUGUAGCGGUGAAAUGCGUAGAUAUCUGGAAGAACACCAGUGGCGAAAGCGGUCAACUGGCCCGUAACUGACGCUCAGGCACGAAAGCGUGGGUAGCGAACAGG